Molecule: long non-coding RNA, 1074 nt
Filed under: Serinus canaria (Common canary)
Lineage: Eukaryota; Metazoa; Chordata; Aves; Passeriformes; Fringillidae
Description: lncRNA (ENSSCAG00000015031.1)
Source: RNAcentral
CUAAGAGAAGCCAAAGGCUUACAGCUUCAGAGGCCUGGGCUGACCUGCCCUGUGCAGGCUGCAAUGGCUGGGGAUGCCGGUGUGUGUCUAAUGAGAAGUUGCUGCAUGAGCUGUGUGACUGGGAGCCGUGCACGCUCACAUGCUAAAGGUUUUCUCCCGGCCCUGAAUCUGUGAUCCUGUUUGUAGUUCUCUAAUUGCAACCAGCAGAAGACAAGGGUGAUGUUGGUUUUUAUGACUUGUUGCUUAGCAGCGUUGAUCAACAAAAGCACAACCUUUUCUUUUGCUGUGACCUCGGUGAACCCGGGCUUGGACAGAGCUCACCAGCGGGGAACAAGGGUUUCUGAAGCCGUGUGAAACUCCUGUGCUGUGCCUUGUUAGCAGUGUCUGAGGGAAAGCAUCUCUUCUUGACCUCUUUGUUGCCUUUGCCCUUUACUCCUCUUUCUCUCUCUCUCAUCAAAUCUUAGAAGAAAGCAGGCACCGUCCUAGGAAGAUUUGGAGGACGAGAAAUACAGGGAGACGUCAACUACACUAAGAUGUAUCCUGCCUCUUUUCAGGAAAAGGAGCUAAGCUGGUUCCCAGACUGUGAUGUCAGACCCUCCUCUCAUGGAAGGAGAAGGACUUCAGCCAUCACAAGUGUUUGUAACAAACCACCUUGUCUGCAUGCCAAGAGAUUGCCACAGAGAGAAACAAAUUGCUGCUGACGACAGAGGUAAAUCUUGUUAUUCUGAAAAUUAUUCCUUGGGCAGCUUCGCGGUAACUUCCUUUUCCAGCUGGUUCCUGAUGAAUCAGUGGCAGCGACUCAGAGAGGAAGCAGUUGCUCAGAGAGUUGUGCUGUGGUGACACUGGUGUGUGCUGGGAGCAGCAAUCCAUAGGUGUCAUUCCAUCCAUCCAUCCCCUCAGCAGUACUUAUGGAGAGCCCUUAGAUGGUGCUGUAUGGCAGCGCUCGGCGCUUCUGCUGCCUGAGGGAUGUCUGGGCCCCACCUCAGGGCCAACAUUUGGCCACAGUUCAGUCUGGGGAAGGUGAAAAAGCCGUCUCUGGGCACUCUUAAUUAGGGUGAGUAAAUGAAAUCUGUC